This 563-nucleotide ribosomal RNA is filed under the name uncultured bacterium. RNAcentral's name for it is "bacterial SSU rRNA". It matches the Rfam family "Bacterial small subunit ribosomal RNA", at positions 338 to 916 of the family's 1533-position model. The record is from RNAcentral.
CCUACGGGAGGCAGCAGUGGGGAAUCUUGCGCAAUGGGCGAAAGCCUGACGCAGCAACGCCGCGUGCGGGAAGAAGGCUUUCGGGCUGUAAACCGCUUUCAGCAGGAACGAAAAUGACGGUACCUGCAGAAGAAGGAGCGGCCAACUAUGUGCCAGCAGCCGCGGUGAUACAUAGGCUUCAAGCGUUGUCCGGAUUUAUUGGGCGUAAAGAGUUCGUAGGCGGUCGAGCAAGUCGGGUGUGAAAAUUCUGGGCUCAACCCAGAGACGCCACCCGAUACUGCUUGACUUGAGUUCGAUAGGGGAGUGGGGAAUUCCUAGUGUAGCGGUGAAAUGCGCAGAUAUUAGGAGGAACACCGGUGGCGAAGGCGCCACUCUGGAUCGAUACUGACGCUGAGGAACGAAAGCAUGGGUAGCAAACAGGAUUAGAUACCCUGGUAGUCCAUGCCGUAAACGGUGGGCACUAGGUGUGGGUUUCUAUUAACGAAAUCCGCGCCGUCGCUAACGCAUUAAGUGCCCCGCCUGGGGAGUACGGUCGCAAGACUAAAACUCAAAUGAAUUGACGG